AGAUUAGCGUGGAGCGGUGCAUCCUGGGAGUACAUUCACUCGGGGAAGGAGAGGAAGAGCUUUUUUGAAUAUUUUUCUGGGAGUUGAAGUUGUUCGGAAUCGCUGCUUCUCUUUUCGGCUAUCCGUGAGUCUCUGGGUGUAGAGGGCUGCCUCAGUCUUUCAGGCCUGGAGAAGUAAUCGACGCCGCGCACGCACCUUUCUGCCCCGGACCCAGACGGCCUCAGCAUCAGAACCCGAAAAGGAAGCUAAGCACAGGGCAGGGUGGCUGCCGCCGUCUCUCCGAGCCACCAGGAACUGACCAUCCCAGCCCUCGUUCCAUAGGCCCACCCUUUGACCCAUUUAGUAUCUGGGCUGGUUUCAGGCCCUGGCCCGGGAGAUUGACACGGAUCUUUGAGCAGUUUCCUGCUUUACCAUGCUCUCUUGUGAUAUUUGUGGUGAAACAGUAACCUCAGAACCAGACAUGAAGGCUCACCUAAUUGUUCAUAUGGAAGAUGAUGUUAUAUGUCCAUUUUGCAAAUUGUCAGGUGUGAGUUAUGAUGAAAUGUGUUUUCAUAUUGAAACUGCUCAUUUUGAGCAAAAUGAGCUAGAAAGAAACAUUGAGAGGAUUAAUUCAGUACAGUACGGAACUUCUGACAACAGGACGGACAGCACCCUGCAGUGUAGAAUGGAAGUUAAUUCAAGUAUUCAUUCAGCUUGUGCGUCUAAUCAUCCGAAAAUUUUAGCUCAAAGUCUGCCUAAGGAAGGAUCUUUAAAACAUAAAGGCUUUCAUUCAGAGAAUGUAACUGAAUCCAGAAAAUUUCUGAAAAGUAAGGAAAAACAGUCUGACCUAACCAAAAUAAAAGGAUCAAUUUAUGAAACAAUGUAUAGUCCUCCUGAAUGCCCAUUCUGUGGAAAAAUAGAAGAUUGUAGUCAAGAUAUGGAAACUCAUGUGAAAACAAAGCAUACCAACCUUUUAGAUACUCCAUUAGAAGACUGUGAUGAACCACUCUAUGACUGCCCUAUGUGUGGGCUUAUCUGUACAAAUUACCAUAUUCUCCAGGAACAUGUUGACUUGCAUUUGGAAGAAAGCGGCUUUGGACAAGGCAUGGAUAGAGUCCAGUGUUCUAGAGAUCUAGAAUUGGCUCAACAGCUUCAACAAGAAGAAGACAGAAAGAGGAGAUCUGAAGAGUCAAGACAAGAAAUGGAAGAAUUUCGGAAGCUGCAGAGACAGUACGGUUUGGAUAAUUCUGGAGGGUACAAACAACAGCAGCUACGAAAUAUGGAGAUAGAAGUGAAUAGGGGAAAAAUGCAUCCAUCUGAAUUUCAUAGAAGAAAAGCUGAUAUGAUGGAAUCACUAGCUAUCGGUAUUGAUGAUGGAAAAACAAAAACUUCUGGAAUUAUGGAAGCACUUUACAGGUAUUACCAGAAUGCUGCCACAGAUGUGAGACGUGUGUGGCUUUCUACAGUAGUGGAUCACUUUCAUUCAUCUUUUGGUGACAAAGGUUGGGGUUGUGGUUACAGAAAUUUCCAAAUGCUGCUUUCGUCAUUAUUACAAAAUGAUGCUUAUGGUGAUUGCCUCAAAGAUAUGUCGGUUCCAUGCAUUCCAAAAAUUCAGUCUAUGAUUGAAGAUGCGUGGAAGGAAGGUUUUGAUCCUCAGGGUGCCUCUCAACUUAAUAACAGGUUACAAGGAACAAAGGCCUGGAUCGGAGCAUGUGAAGUAUAUACACUUCUGACCUCCCUAAGGAUAAAGUGUCGUAUUAUUGACUUUCACAAGUCGACUGGUCCUUUGGGUACACACCCUCGCUUAUUUGAAUGGAUAUUGAACUAUUAUUCUUCAGAGAGGGAGGGGAGUCCAAAAGUAGUGUGUACAUCUAAACCUCCUAUUUAUCUUCAGCAUCAAGGUCAUAGUCGAACAAUUGUUGGAAUUGAAGAGAGAAAAAACCGAACAUUAUGUUUACUAAUAUUUGAUCCUGGAUGGCCUUCUCGAGACAUGCAGAAAUUCUUAAAGCAAGACAUGGAAGCUAGCAGUCUCAAGCAACUUCGGAAAUUUGUGGGAAAUUUAAAACAUAAGCAGUAUCAGAUAGUGGCAGUAGAAGGUGUUCUUUCUUCAGAGGAGAAAAUUGCCAGGAGACAAGCUUCUCAAGUCUUUACAGCUGAGAAGAUUCCUUGAAGAAGAAAGAAGCUUUCAGAUUCAUGUUGGAUUUGCCAUGUAAGGUUGCAAGCAAGAAUCCUACUCUGGCCAAUUUAAACAGAAGAGAAUUCAUUGAAAUUAACAGAAGCUCACAGAUUCCACAGGUAACUAGGGAACUGUGCUAGAACCAAGGCAACUCUUGAGGCUAGAAUAUGGCCUGAUUUAGGGGGGAGCAGUCAAGUUAGGAGCUGAGGUAGAAUGUCUCUGCUCAAAUAUCAGAUUCCAGAGUAGGCAGAUCUGAUUAGCAUGUGACCAUAUGCCGCAAGACAGAGACAGUUUCUCUAAAGGAAAUCAAGGUAGAUGAAGAAAUAGAUAAUAAACAGUAAAAGAGAGAAGCAGCAAGUGUCUACUAUCCCAUGAAAAAAUGAAUAAGAACUUACUGGAAUGAAGUUCUAGAAAUAUCUAUUGCAUCAAAUACUGAAAGUUACACUCCAAGUGAAUAAUAUUGCCAGUUGGAAAACUCUAGAAGCCAGCCUUUCUAAUAUUCUGUCCUUUAGACUGGUAACCAGAUUUUUAUUGUAUUUUCCCAUGAAGUUAUGUUACUUCCUACUAUCAUUGUCUCAUAUCUAGACAAUGUGAAAACCUCCUAACUGGCUUCCAUGUCUUAAUCCUAUGUCAGUCCAUUUUCCACAAGGAAACCAAGUGGUUUUAAAACACAAAUGUGAUUUUGAGACUCCUUGGUUGAAUCCUCUUCAUUGCUCUAAGAUAAAAUUCAGCUGGUGCUACCUGGGGCCCUUUUCCCCUUAGUUCUCCUUCUCUUACAAGGGCUUCCUCUUAGAAGUGCUUCCUGACUGCUCACGUUUGGAUUAAAUGCACCUUUUAAAUGUUUGAUAAGCAGCCUUUCUCAAAGUAGAAGUCACUAAUCUGCAGAUCGCUGGUCUAUGACAAGAUAAUUACAGAAAUUACAGUUGCUGACAUACUUCUGUUUUAUCUUACAAAGGUAAUAGUAAUGGAUUAGAAAUUUUUUAAAAGUUGGUUCAUCAUCAUACACAGUUUGAGAAACACUGUCCUGUGGUAUAAUUGUAUCACAAUACCUGCUAUUCUAAUUAUCUAUCUACUUUUUAUACUUCCCUCUUUGAAUGUAAGCUCUUAAGAUUUCAAAAGCAAUGUCUAAUUUUUAACAGUAGCCUCAGGGCACAUAUUGGGCUUAAAAAUACUUUUUUUGGUGAACGGAAAUAACUAGCUUCAGAAAAGCAGUGAUGGAAAAGUCUGGAUAUCCCAGCUAGCCAUCUUUAUGCAAAUCGCUUUUCCCCAAAUUAGAUAAAGCCAACUUCAGUAGGAUGAAAGAGUUACAUUGAGAAGUUUCUUUAAGAAGUAACAAGUAGAAGAGUUAAAAAAUUUGAAUUUUUUCCACAGUCUUUCGAGCAGGUAGUUGAAUUAUAUACCAUUUCCCCAGGGUGAAGGAGGAGAUAUAUAUACACACACACACAUAUACACACACACACCACAGUAUACACUAUAUCACAGAUCAUUUAAGAAUACAUGCUCUAGGAGUUCCCGUCGUGGCUCAGUGGUUAAUGAAUCCGACUAGGAACCAUGAGGUUGCAGGUUUGAUCCCUGACCUUGCUCAGUGGGUUAAGGAUCCGGUGUGAGCUGUGGUGUAGGUUGCAGAUGUGGUUCAGAUCCCACGUUGCUGUGGCUCUGGCGUAGGCCGGUGGCUACAGCUCCGAUUGGACCCCUAGCCUGGGAACCUCCAUAUGCCGUGGGUGCGGCCCCAGAAAAGGCAAAAAGACAAAAAAAAAAAGAAUACAUGUUCUAAUUUAGUUAUUUUCCGUAUUUUUGGCUUCAGCAUUCCUUGACACUCAAAAAAUAUUGAAGUUCUCAGGAAGCUUUUGUGAGUUAGCAAGUAUGUAUUUCCAGGCUUGCCAUGUUAGGAGUUCCACGGUGGCCUAGCAGGGUAAGGAUCUGGCGUUGUCAGUGCUGUGGCUCUGGUCACUAUUCUGGUACAUAUUCAGUCUCUGAACCUGGAACUUCUGCAUGCUGCGGCAUGGUCAAAAAGAAAAAAGGAAAAAAAGAAAUUAAACCUGAGGCUUAAAAAAAAAUGAAAACAUGGAAGCACAUAUCCCAUUAGCUGUAGCCAUAAGAAUAGUAAUGUAAAACAGUGUCAUUUAGCCUCUGCAAAAUCAAUUGGGCAUCAUUUUUGGUUUUUUUUUGUUGUUGUUGUUGUUCUUUGAUUUGGGGACGGGGGGCACACCUGAGGCCUGCAAAAGGCCAGGGAUCAAACCCCUACCACAGCAGUGGCUAUGACAGAUCCUUAACUUGCUGAGCUACCAGAGAACUCCCAUUGAGCAUCUUUCUUAAAGCACAUAUUAACAGUUCCACAUAUGAAAUUCAAAUUUUAUGUUUUCAAGGAAUGGUAUUUUGUGCAUGAAUAGUUGUCACAUGUAUGUAUAUAAAAUCACUUUCAAAUAAGAUGUUGUGUAUAUCAGUCUCUCACAUAAGACUGAACUAAUUUUAUUUUUAUUGGUCAUAAUCAUCUUCCUCAUCUUCAUCCUCCUCAGUUUCUUCAUUUUCUUCGGUGAGGUUUACAGCUACUUCUUGUGCAGCCCUGAAAGCCUGCUCCUCUUCCACACUAGGGUCAUCCAUUUCUGUAAUUUCUGGUCCACUAGGAUACUCUUGAUAAACUGGUGGUGGAACUGGAGGUGUAUAGCUGUCUGGACUGUAUUUAUGACCCCACCCUAUGUAGAGGUUUUCAAACUUUCUAGAAGUUAAAAAAAAAAGUAGACCGUUAUAUAUAAUUUUUCAGUAAGAAAAGCUGAUCCUUCUUUCCUGUAAGGAUAAAGUAUUUAGAGUAUCAUAGUCCCACAAUGUUAAAAAAAAAAAAAAGUGCAUUUAAAAUGCAUUAGAGGUAAAAUAUCCCUAAGUGAUUCCUCCACCACAGGGAAUUACUAUGAUCAAAAGCUAGUUAAGAAGACCAUGGGGCCAGACCCUGUCAAAAUGUACCCUACACCUGGACCACAGCCUUUCAUCUUUUAAUUAUUUUCAGAAAAACAAAACAACUAAGUUAAAAGUUUCUCACCUUCCUUAGAGUUAGAAUUAAGAAGUUGCUGGCCUAUGGGUGAUUUUUUUAAGGCCCAACUUGGAGGAUGAGAAAACCUUUAGGGCGUCAGCCUCACAGGGGAAACUGCCCGCUCCACACCAGACUUGGCAAGCAGCCAGGGCACUGCAGUCUAAGGGGAGGGGUGGGCAGGGACUCUCGCCCUCUGGCCUGUCAUACACUUCACACAUUUGUGUUCCUGGCUCAGGUGCCUUCAUUUGAGGCCUUCAGCAGAGACCUUCAGGCCCCUCUGCCAAGGCCUCCUUAUGGGGGUUGAAUGAGAAAAGGGGAAACCUUACAGACACUUUUCCCCACUCAUGACUCCUUACUUAGUACUUGUCCCCUCCCUACCUUCCGCUGUCUCCCAGGCCCAUAAAACUGCAAGAUCCUUAUGUCGGGGACUUCCUUGUCAGUGAGAUGACCCCCACAACUGUGGUGACCCAUCUGACCUUCCUCAGUGUGCUAUUCCAUGGGCAAAUGGGAAAGGGGGGAAUCAUCACUGUCUCUUCUUAUACUAUCAUCACAACAAGUGAUGAAAGGCUCAACACUUCCAUUUUUGGCUUGUUAUUUAAUGGCUAAUCUGACAUUUGACUGCCCAGCUCUCUCCAGUUUGAUCGAGCUUCUGACCCAAAGAAAGAAAUGGAAGCCUAAGACAAAUGGAAGUGUAUACUCUCAAUGAGAAAUAAAAAGACAUUUACCACCCUCUUGAUCCUAAUUAUCUUGAAAGCUUAAUAUAUAUUUUAAAUUAUCUUUAACUCAGAUAUCCAACCAAAAUGAGAUUUAAACUAAUUAAACACUACUUAAAAUGACCUCCAAUAAAUGAAUGUCAAUUGCUCAAAUAAUCAUAGAAGAAAAAACAUACCUUAGCUCCAUUAAUUGGAUAAUUCAGAUGAAAAGGCAGAAGUCUGAGUCACUCAAAUGUCAAAAAUUUUGAUGCUUUGUUGUAUAAGACAGAUGUUGUUUGAAUAAAUCUUAUGCCAUACACACUUAACAUGCCAAAGAAGAGUUAAAAUAGUAGUAACAUUCCAGUGAUAGCUUAUAAUUUCCAGAAGUUAAAUGAUCAAAAUAAUGGCCUUGUAAGUUGUCACAUACUUACUUGCCAUUGGAAAAGGCAUAUGCUCCAGGCCAAAGGUUGGAUCUAAGGACUGCAAUAGCAUAUUGAGGAAUUAGAUUUGAGGAUAACCGUGUUGUCCAAGGCGGUAUAUUUUGGAUCUCUACAAACCAAAGAGAAAUUUGAAAUAGACUUAACUCCUAAAUAGACAAGCAUAUACUGUGUAACAGAAAAGAUAUAUUUAUAUAUCUUAACACAUAUACAACUUGACAUAGAAAAGUUAAAACAUCAAUAGCUUAAUAUAAAAUCAGGAGGGUAUUAUAUGAACCUUCUGGAACAAUGAAAUUUGAAAAAAAUGUAUGUAUAUGUGUGUAUUUGUAAACAGAAAAUAAGUUUUAUAAUUGUGUCUAUAUAUGUAUAUGUGUACAUUUGUACAACAUAGUAAGUUUCACUAAGGGAGAGGAAGCCUAUGUUGUGGAGGGAAAAAUAUUUGAAAGAGAGCUAGGGUUACAAGCAUGAAACCUCCAAAACUGAAGAGGAAGAAAAACGAAUAUGAGAAAGGGGGAGUUCCCGUCGUGGCGCAGUGGUUAACGAAUCCGACUAGGAACCAUGAGGUUGCGGGUUCGGUCCCUGCCCUUGCUCAGUGGGUUAACGAUCCGGCGUUGCCGUGAGCUGUGGUGUAGAUCGCAGACACGGCUCGGAUCCCGCGUUGCUGUGGCUCUGGUGUAGGCCGGUGGCUACAGCUCCGAUGAGACCCCUAGCCUGGGAACCUCCAUAUGCCGUGGGAGCGGCCCAAGAAAUAGCAAAAAAAAAAAAAAAAAAAGAAUAUGAGAAAAAUAAUAGACUAGGAAAAAAAAAAAAAAACUCCAAAACAGUACCUUAUAAUAUUUUACUCUGUAGAAUGUAAAAUAAGAAUGAUACAAAAGAUAACUGUCAGCAUUUCCAGUAAGAGCUACAGACAAUUUAUGUUUCCUUUCUCCAUCGCACUCCUGCAGCCUCUGUCUAGAAAAUUCUUGAAGGGGCUAGCUAGCUACAUUAGUCUUUAUUCCCACCAUUUACUCUGUGUGUGUGUGUGUGUGUGUGUGUGUGCGCGCGCGCGCGCGCGUGUGUGCGUGUGCGUGCGCGUGCGUGAGUUUCCCGUGCUAAAGUAGAGCAUUCCUAUGAAAUUGUUUGUAAGCCUAAAUGACAGAGUGAAGAAGCAGUUACCUUAGGAUAUAUCUUGCUAAUAGAUGCACAAAAUAAAUUGAAAUGAUAAAGCACAGAUGCUGACAGACACAGUCCAAAGCUACUUGACGCUGAGUAUAGUUUCUGGGGAAUAAACUUGGAGGUGUGCCCCUCUGACAGCUUAGAGCAUGUGCUACCUCCAGCUGCUUGGUGCAAAACAAGUGCUGGACACUUUUUGCUUUUGCCUUUUUUUUUUUUUUUUUUUUUUUUUUUUGUAAAAGAGAAAAUCCUCUUUGGAUUUCUAUAAAAGAGGAUUUUCCCUUUAAAAAAAAAAAAAGGUACUAAUAGGUCCUAAAAUAGGUAAUUCAUAAAAGCAAAGUGGUGUAAGGCAACCUUUGCAAAAGCAGGAGAUACCUGUGUAUAUAUACACUUAAUAUUGUAUGUGUAUAUGUGUAUAUAUAUAUAUAAAAUAUCAUAUAUAUUCAUGGUACAGUCAUAUUUUUAUUGUGCCUCACAGACACAGAGUUAUUUUACAAAUUCAAGUUUUGUGGCAACCUUGUGUCAAGCAAGUCUGUUGACACCAUUUUUCCAAUAGCGUUUGCUUGUUCCUGUCUCUGGGUCACAGUUUGGUAAUUCUUGCAGUAUUUCAAACUUUUUCUUUAUUAUAUUUGUUAUGGUAAUCUGUGAUCAGUGAUCUUUAAUGCUAAUAUUUAAUGUUUAAUUGUUUUGGGGCACCCCAAACCAUGCCCAUGUAAAAUAGAGAACUUAAUUCCAUAAAUGGAUUACUAGAGAUAGUGGGUUAGGGAAGGGGGAAUUGAAAUUGAAGGAAGGUAGUCAAAAGACACAAGCUUCCAGUUGUAAGUACUGGAGCUGUCAAGUACAACAUAAUUAAUGCUAAAGUAUGUUAUAUGUGAAAAUUGUGACUAGUGUAAAUCCUAAGGAUUGUCAUUACAAGGAAAUAUUUUUAUUUAUUUUUUAUAUGAGAUGCUAGGUGGUCACUAAACUUACUGUGAUAAUCAUUUCAUGGUGUAUAUAAUUACAUCAUUAUGCUGGGCACCUUAAACUUAUAUAGUAUGUCAAUUAUAUCUUAAUAAAACUGGAAGAAAAAAAUAAUUAAAUGAGAGUAUUUAACAAAAAUUUUAAAAAGACCAAAGAGGUUUUCUCUCAGGUUUUGGAAGAGAUUCACCAUUCUACAUGGCAUGAUUCAUGGGACGUGGUCAAGAUAUCAACAUUAACCAGAGUUUGGAAGAAGGUGAUUUCAGCUCUCAUGGAUGACUUUGAGAAUUAUAAUUAGAAAUGGUGCCUGAAGAUGUGACUGAAUUGCUGCAGUCUCAUGAUAAAACUUCAAUGGAUGAAGAGUUGCUUCCUUUGGAUGAGCAGAGAAAGUGGUUUCUUAACGUGGAACCCACUCCUGGUGAAGAUGCUGUGAAAAUGGUUUAAAUGCCAGUAAAGGAUUUAGAAUGUGAUAUAAAUUUAGUUGAUAAGGCAGUGGCUGAGUUUGAGAAGAUGGACUCCAAUUUUGAAAGUUAUGCUGUGAGUAAAAUGCUGUCAAACAACUUUACAUGCUACUGAGAAAUUGUUUCUGAAAGGAAGAGUCAAGUGAUGUGGUAAACUUUAUUUUAAAUCACAGCCUUCACUAACCACCACCCUGAUCAGAUCAGUCAGCAGCCACUGACAUAGAGACAAGAACCUCAUCAGCAAAAAGAUUAUGACUCACUGCAGGCUCAGAUGAUGGUUAGAAUUUUUUAGCAACACUAUUUUUUUCUUCCAGUGUGAUCUCCUUUUCUAUACAUUUGUGUAUUUGCUUGUUUUUUUGGAACUAUAAUUGACUUGCAACACUAUGUUACACAACAUAAUGAUUUUUUCUGUACAUCUCAAAAUGAUCACCAUGAUAAGUUUAGUCACUUUAUAUGUCACCACACAAAGAUCUUACCUUAUUUGGUCUAUAUUCCCCACAUUAUACAUUUCGUAGCUGUGAC
Sus scrofa (pig) is the source of this 9401-nucleotide non-coding RNA. The record is from RefSeq and is a predicted model, not a curated record. Lineage: Eukaryota; Metazoa; Chordata; Mammalia; Artiodactyla; Suidae.